GCAGUUCCGGCGGGGGCGGACUGGGAACACAUGGGAAUGAGAUGAGAUCAUUGCUCGGUCGUGCUGGCCUGGGCCGUCGGCGCGCGUUGAUCUUGCAUGUGUUCUCAGGUCGCCCCCGGAGGGCCUUC
Molecule: non-coding RNA, 128 nt
Organism: Zea mays
Lineage: Eukaryota; Viridiplantae; Streptophyta; Magnoliopsida; Poales; Poaceae
Source: Rfam